Molecule: transfer RNA, 77 nt
Filed under: candidate division WWE3 bacterium CG_4_10_14_0_2_um_filter_42_7
Lineage: Bacteria; candidate division WWE3
Description: tRNA-Ile
Rfam family: tRNA
About the family: Transfer RNA (tRNA) molecules are approximately 80 nucleotides in length.
Source: RNAcentral
GGGCAUGUAGCUCAGCUGGUUAGAGCGUCGCUCUUAUAAGGCGAAUGUCCCUGGUUCGAAUCCAGGCGUGCCCACCA